CAUCUAUUAUCCAUCUAUCCAUCCAUCCAUCCAUCUAGUAUCCAUCUAUCCAUCAAUCCAUCUAUCCAUCCAUCUAUUAUCCAUCCAUCCAUCAAUCUAUCUAUUAUCCAUCCAUCCAUCAAUCCAUCUAUUAUCCAUCUAUCCAUCCAUCCAUCCGUCCAUCUAUUAUCCAUCUAUCCAUCCAUCCAUCAAUCUAUCUAUUUAUAUGUAUCUGUAGACGCGGCGUUUUGGAGCAAGAGUUACAAUCAAGUGCACACUAAGGAUAAUAUUUCGAUUUUUAUUAUUAGUUUAUUCCGAAUCAGUGCUGGACACCAGGCUGCGGGAGUGGAGAGGACAGCAGAAACACUUCGCUGCACACGGACACUUGAGAGUUCAGUUCUCCGCGGGGCGCUUUUAGUUUACGAAGGACGGCGAUUCGAUUCGAUUGUGAGCUAUUAUGUCAGAGUGGACAAAACAGUCCGUUACACUUACAGUCCGCUCGCUCGGCUUGUUUUUAUUUAUUCUUAUUUUUCCGUUUUACCCAAAUUAGGAGGGAACUCAGAGGAGGAGGUGGGCAGGAUGGACGGCAAAAACCGCAACCACGUUUCGUUUCGUUUCAUUCAUUCAUUCAUCCAUUCAUCCAUUCAUUCAAUCGCCGGCUCGCUCACAGCACAGGCCCCUCACCCAGCAGCCGCCGGCGUGUCUUGUGAGCGCGUCCCCGCUCCGACGCGCGCUCUCGCACUGUCACUGUGUCGCCGGUCGAUCACUCCUUGGUCCUUCCUCAUCCUCCUCCUCCUUUUGGUGUUUAAUUCGUGUUUGUCAAAACAACAUCCCGCAUCUCCACGUCCACCCACCGCGCCUCCCUUUUCCUCCCCACUUACCCCUGCCUGCGUGUGUGCACGCGCCGCGUUUCGCGCUCGCCUUCCCCGCCGCGGUCGCGCUGCGCGUCCUCGCCCCACUAGCCUCCGGCUGUCACCUCCCCACGCACCCGCAUCACUCGCGACCGCAGCUGCACCCACGCGCGUUUAUUCCCUUCAUUGCACUUUCGGUAUGAGUUCCCUGAAUUCAGGCCUCCUCCGGUCACCGCGCCGCACCGCACCGAAACGCACCUCCUGUUGUUGGAAGCUGAGUAAAACCUCCUCGCAAGCGUCCCGCGCGUUUACCACAUUUUACGUGAGGAGGAGGUGCUCCUUUUCCUUUUUAAGUGGAAAAUUGAAGGAGAAAAACCCCAAAGACAGCAAGCCCCAGACCCCCCGUUGGGGAAAAAACUGCCUGUUCAACUUCAAACCCGGAUGCUGCUUCUACAAGGGCAAGUGCUGCCCGAGUGCCCCGCGCACGCGGCCAGGUGAAUGAAGAGCGCAUCCCAGAAGUGAACGGCCCCUACCUCGAGAUGCCGCCUUCUUCCAGUGCCACAAGGUUGCCUGGCUAGUUUCUCC
This 1415-nucleotide long non-coding RNA is filed under the name Scleropages formosus (Asian bonytongue). RNAcentral describes it as "lncRNA (ENSSFOG00015029918.1)". The record is from RNAcentral. Lineage: Eukaryota; Metazoa; Chordata; Actinopteri; Osteoglossiformes; Osteoglossidae.